Long non-coding RNA from Calidris pugnax (ruff), 1220 nucleotides. RefSeq lists it as uncharacterized. NCBI's taxonomy places the organism in Eukaryota, Metazoa, Chordata, Aves, Charadriiformes, Scolopacidae. The record is from RefSeq and is a predicted model, not a curated record. The transcript has 2 exons.
UAUAAAUAUACUACAUGCUUGUUUGAAGAGGUGAUACAUGGGUAAAAGAAAAAAAAAGGCACAUUAUUCGCUAGAGAGGUAGGACUUUCAUUUAACCAGAUCUUAGUACUCUUGCAAAAAAUCUGGUUUGAUUAAGGUGAUCUAUUUUUUAAUUUUAUUUUUUUUUUUUAAAUUCCUUUUUUUUUGUUGGUGGGACAAUCUUUAAUUUUCUAAAGAUAGCACAAACAUCAGCUUUUCAGCCACCCGCCUGCCGCCCUGGAUGUUCCUCGCUGCCUUCUCGCGUGUUUCCACCGAGCCCUGACCCAAACCCAGCCCCAUCCAGGAUGUCCACGGGCCACCCCGGGGAGGAUGCUCAACCUCCCUGAGAUCCAUCAGCACCCAAGGGCUGAGCCCCGAUGCCGGGUGGGACCCGAGGAAUGGACUUAACGGGCAAAGGACCAUCAUCUCCACACCACCCGUGGGUGGAAGAAGCCCCACACUGAUCCCCCCACCCCCCCAAGCUCACCAGCAGCUUCUCUGCACUUUGGACCUGGCUUUCCCACCCCCCCCUCAAAAUCCUGGCUGCCCACCCUGCCCCGCAGCCCCCCGGGGUUGGGGGGGAGCCGUGGUGUUUCUGGCUGGGCUCAGCCCCUGGUCGGACGAAGGGGUUGGAGAUGGUGGGACCGUGGCUCAAGAGCUGAUGCUGUCCCCAUCAGUGACGACGUGCAUGAUCUGGUUUAAGUUGAUACAUAUGUGCGUGUGUAUACAUGUAUGUACUGUAGAUAUAUACACUGUAUAAAUAUCCUCACUCACAUAUACAUAUAUUAUAACCGUAGCAAUUACAGACUUUUUGUGGGUUGUUUUUUUUUUGUUUGUUUUAAGUCAAUUCUUUUUUCCUAUUUUUUUUUUCUUGCUUUGUUUUUUUUUUUUUUUUUUUUUUUUGCUUCAUGUAAGCGAGUACAUUGUAUCUGAAGCCCUUUCCGAAUUGGCAGAUGCCAAAUCUGGAUCUUUAUUCCUCGAGACAAAGGAAAUGCAUCUAUUUUAAGAUGCCUUUUUGUUUUUUGUUUUCUUCUUUUUUUUUUUUGGUUUUUGUUUUGUUUUGUUUUUCUUUUGAGCAGCAGGUGGUUUUGAGUAAAAAUAGCUUUAGCAGUUCCCAAUACUUAGUGAUGGAUGCCUUGGCUAUGGGACGCAUAGCUAAAAAAUAAAAUACGUUAAAAUUUAGAAUGACAAAAAAAAAAAAA